Molecule: ribosomal RNA, 459 nt
Filed under: Pseudophasmatidae sp. 2 SB-2021
Lineage: Eukaryota; Metazoa; Arthropoda; Insecta; Phasmatodea; Pseudophasmatidae
Description: partial large subunit ribosomal RNA
Source: RNAcentral
GGGAGAAUCCUGAAUUCGAAAGGGGCCGGAUUCAAGUCCAUUCUGAUUGUUCAGGCCGCCUGUCCCCGCCAGAUGGUGCCGGUCGCCCGCGGCGAUUAAUUUCGUUUGCGGUGUCGUUCCCGGCGCUCACUCGGUGGGUUGGCGUGUCUCUGGCAUCAGAGAACUGCACUUCCACCCUAGUAGAAACGUCGCGACCCGUUGGGUGCCGGUCUAAGGCCCGGGAUGGCAGACCACGUGUCCUGCGGGGGCUCUCGCAGGCGCGCGGACUCCUGGUGUCCCGGCCGGCUGCCCGACGGUAAGACCAGAGGGGUCGAUCCGCUACAGGGGAAACACUUUGGUGUGUAGCGUCCGGCCCGUUUUUCCGACACGUGCGGGGUCUGUACCUCGUCGUCGGAUCAGAUGGUGUCCUCGGACUGGAUCAACCCCCGUCUGCGACGCCCUUCUUCGGAUGGUCUCCCG